Molecule: long non-coding RNA, 1030 nt
Organism: Perognathus longimembris pacificus (Pacific pocket mouse)
Lineage: Eukaryota; Metazoa; Chordata; Mammalia; Rodentia; Heteromyidae
Exons: 3
Source: RefSeq, a predicted model, not a curated record
AAAAAAAAAUCUGACAUAAGAUUAAAAACUAUAUUGGUAUCUUUACUUGACUUAUUCUAUAAUUUGUAAAGUAUGUCUAAAGUCUAAGUAAUUUUGGAGCUUAUAUUAGAUUUGCAAAUCAGCUUUCAGAAUAAAUUUGAUCUUUCAUACUAAAUACUUUUUUGUUGUUGUUGUUUUGGUUUUUGAGACAGGGUCUUGUUCUUAGACCAGGCUAGACUUACUCUCACAAUCUUCCUAUCUCAGCCUCACAGUUCUGUGAUCACAGGCAUGCACUACUACCACACCUGGCCUAAAGGACCAGGCAUCACUAAUUAGUUUCCAGUAACCUGAUCAUUUUAACUUGGGUCCUUUGCACAGUGAAAAAUUCCAAGAAGCCUACAUAUGGUGCUCUUAGUUUACUUAUAUCCCUGGGUGUGAAUUUCAAUAAGAACUUUUUUUACAAGUAGAGAAAGGGAACUGGCUAAGAGUCCAAAGAACUCCUUUGCCUUAAUGAAACACAUGGGUAUACAUCAACUCUCAGUACUCACUACCUUACUUUUUCACUAUUUGUAUGUGUGAUGUGUUUGUGCUGGUACUGGGACUUGAACUGGGCACUGUCCUGUAGCUUUUUUGCUCAAGGAUAGCCCUCAACCUCUUGAGUCACAGCUCUACUUCCAGUUUCCUGCUGACUAACUAGAGAUAACAAUAUCAUAGACUUGCCCAACUGGACUAGCUUCAAACCUCAACCCUCAGAUCUCACCCACCUAAGUAGCUAGGAUUACAGGUAUAAGCCACAGGUGCCUGGUUACCCUGCUUUAUUCUAUUCCUUUUAUUCAAUUGUACUUAAUAUCUCCUAACAUUCUUUAUGAAUAACUUUUUAAUAUAAUUAUGUGGAUUAUAUUUUAUCUUUAAUGUUGCUGUUGACUGCUUACUGUAUUAAUAUACUCCCACCACACUGGAAAGCAAAGCUAUAUUAGAACAAGAAGUUUAUCUGUUUUACUUAUCGGUAUAUAUACACACACACACACACACACACACUCUCAUGUGUACA